GUCGGUGAUGCCGGAGGGGGCGGUCGGUGAUGCCGGAGUGCGGCGCGGGCGGGUGACGAGCGGGGAGAGGCGGGAUCGUCCCCGCCCCGGUCCCGCCUGCACGGGUGGACCUGCCUUCUCCUUCCCCGCAAUGAGUGACGGCUUGUCCGGUGCCGAGCCCCGUCGUCAUAGAAUCAUAGAAUAUCCUGAGUUGGAAGAGACCCACAAGGACCGUCCAGUCCAACUCCUGGCUCCGCACAGGACAACCCAAACUAUCACCCCUUAAGAGAGUUACGCUCUCCUGUGUUAACAGGCAUCUGCAAAUAUCGUCAGGAACGUUUUCGUUGUGCCUUCCUCUCUUUUCCUUUUUCCUGUUAUAAGCACCUUUGGAGUUAUAUGCUUAAAUCUAAUCGUGAAAUUAGCAGAUAUUCUCAUUAGACGCUGAUGACAAAUCUACAUAGAACCUUAUUCUUUCCUUUUGCUACUACAUACAAUCUUAUUCUUUCCUUUUGCCAGUGAAGGUUGGUGUGAGAAGAUGUCCACACAGUCAGCAGUCUUGCUCUGGAAUGGAAGGAAGCAGCAGAAGCUGGCAACAGGAAUGGGAUUGUGAUGAGCUGAAUUCUAUGGACAUGUUGUUAGAUCCUCCUGAGCUUUUUGCUGUAAACAGAGCAAAGUGUUUGGACUUUUUAGCAAUUAUUUAGAAGAAAAUCAGUGACAGACUGGGACUGUUGUGACGGAAAGACAUGAGGGGAAUGGAGAGACAUUCAUGAAGCACAUGAAUGCAAAGCAGCAAGAAAAAAA
This is a long non-coding RNA of Lepidothrix coronata (blue-crowned manakin), 780 nucleotides long. RefSeq lists it as uncharacterized. The transcript is spliced from 3 exons. NCBI's taxonomy places the organism in Eukaryota, Metazoa, Chordata, Aves, Passeriformes, Pipridae. The record is from RefSeq and is a predicted model, not a curated record.